AUUGAACGCUGGCGGCAUGCCUUACACAUGCAAGUCGAACGGCAGCACGGGAGCAAUCCUGGUGGCGAGUGGCGAACGGGUGAGUAAUAUAUCGGAACGUGCCCGGUCGUGGGGAUAACGUAGCGAAAGCUACGCUAAUACCGCAUACGAUCUACGGAUGAAAGCGGGGGAUCGCAAGACCUCGCGCGAUUGGAGCGGCCGAUAUCAGAUUAGGUAGUUGGUGAGGUAAAGGCUCACCAAGCCGACGAUCUGUAGCUGGUCUGAGAGGACGACCAGCCACACUGGGACUGAGACACGGCCCAGACUCCUACGGGAGGCAGCAGUGGGGAAUUUUUGGGACAAUGGGCGCAAGCCUGAUCCAGCAAUGCCGCGUGCAGGAUGAAGGCCU
Molecule: ribosomal RNA, 388 nt
Filed under: uncultured bacterium
Lineage: Bacteria
Description: bacterial SSU rRNA
Rfam family: Bacterial small subunit ribosomal RNA
Source: RNAcentral